UGACCGUUAGAAUGUGUUUUAAGUGACAAAACAAUCUCAUUCUCUUUUCUUUUUAGCUUUUCACCUUGGGAAGGAGGUCUCUUUACUUUUUAUUUGAAAAGGAAUUGUUUUUGUUAUUUUCCUAAACCUGGAGAGUGACGGAAGCCAUCCUUGAGGAGUCAAGAUAAACUCUAGAUGUAAGCUGAAUGGUCACCAGGUCACGGAAUUCCACCGGGAAUGGGAAGAUCCUCUGGAGUAGCACGCAAAGUCCUGCUAUCUGCAUUCUGUGGUUGGAGUGAGUUGGGUCAGCCCACCAAUGUAUUUCCUCAUUAGACAUUGACAAACAUGGAAGAAAAACAGUGGAAGAAUUAGAAGAGAAUAUGGAAGCAGAAUGUGAUCUGGAGUCAUGUUUAGUGACCACAGCAGGGCUGAAGAACAAGGACGGUGUCAAGAUGGGCAUUUUUUCUGUGCAUAGCGAAUUGGGAGGCAAAGAAAACUGCUGAAAAAAAUUGGUAAGAGUUUGGGAUCUUAAAGAUAUAGUAAGUUUGUGGUAGCCUCUGUGGAUGUAGGGUGAAGGAAAGGUGGGGAGGGGGGAGAGAGAGAGAGAGAGAGAGAGA
Molecule: long non-coding RNA, 596 nt
Filed under: Macaca mulatta (Rhesus monkey)
Lineage: Eukaryota; Metazoa; Chordata; Mammalia; Primates; Cercopithecidae
Description: lncRNA (ENSMMUG00000041072.2)
Source: RNAcentral